UUUUUUUUAAUGCCAGUACCAUGAGGUUUUGGUUACUGUAACUUUGUAGUAUAAUUUGAAGUCACAUGAUGUGAUCUUUCCAGUUUUGUUCUUUUUGCUUAGGUUGGCAAUUCUAGGUCUUUUUUUUUUUUUUUUUGGAGACUGUCUCUCUCUGUUGCCCAGGCAGAGUGCAGUGGCACAUUCUCAACUCACUGCAACCUCCACCUCCCAGGUUCAAGCUAUUCUUGUGCCUCAGCCUCCCAAGUAACUGGGCUUACAGGUGUGUGCCCCCAUGCCCAGCUAACUUUUGUAUUUUUAGUAGAGAUGGGGUUUCACUAUGUUGGCCAGGCCAGUCUUGAACUCCUGACCUCAAGUGAUCUGCCUACCUCAGCUUCCCAAAAUGCUGGGAUUACAGGCGUGAGCCACCAUGCCCAGCUUCUAGGUCCUUUUGUGGGCUAUUCUUUUGGCUAUUCUGGGUCUUUGUGAUUCUAUAUAAAUUUUGGGAUUAUUUUUCUAUUUCUAUGAAGAAUGUCAUUGUUACUUUGAUAGGGAUUGCACUGAAUCUGCAGAUUGCUUUGGGUAGCAUGGACGUUUUAACAGUAAUUGAGUCUUCCAAUCCGUAAACAAUGGAUAUCUUUCUGUUUUUCUGUGUUCUCUUUGAUUUCUGUCUUCAAUGUUUUAGUUUUCAUUGUAGAGAUCUUUCACUUCUUAAUUCCUAGGUAUUUUAUUUUACUUGUAGCUAUUGUAAAUGGGAUUACUUUCUUGAUUUCUUUUUCAUGUUGUUCCCUGUUGGCAUACAGAAUUGAUACUGAUUUUUUUUUAUGUUGAUUUUGUACCCUGCAACUUUAAUGAAUUUAUCAGUUUGAAUAGUUUUUUCAUGGAGUCUUUAGGUUUUUCUAAAUGUAACAUUGUAUCAUCAGCAAACAAGAAUAAUUUGGUCUUCUUUCUUCCUAAUUUGAAUGCCCUUUCUGUCUCUUGUCUGAUUGGCUUAGGUAGGACUUCUACCAUGUCAUCAGUGAAGGAGACUCUACCCCUUCUAAGAACACUUGGAUUAUAUGGAGGGGGAAACCGGCCUUGAAGAAAAUUCAUGAAAUAUUAAGACAGAGACCCUUCAGUAUUCUCUAACAGCCUAGACUGACUUAACACAAAUGAGGAGAGGAGCCUUCAGGGAAGGGAGAUCCUCGUGACCUUUUCAGAUAGAUAGGAUGAGGCUUCCCUGUUGCUGAAGGAAACCUGAACUCAGGAAAAUGAAUCUCACCCAUAAACAUGGUACAGGAGUCCUCUACUGCAGCGUGCCCUUCCUUUUUGCCCUGACAUACCUGUGGGCUGAGAAUGGGUAAUGGCAUGGCACUGCUUUGAUCCCCUAAGCUUCCUGCAGGCCAGGGUAGGGACUAGAGUGACCAGAGCUCAUGGCUGGUCUUCUUUGGCUGCAAUAAGCAUUUUCCACUUGCCCAAAUUCAUUGUACAAAUAAUAGUACUUUAUUUGCAUGGUGAGCAAAGUUAGAGAGCACUGUUUUAUAGAACCUGGGGUUCCCCUUCCUGUCCAGCCCUCAGUGGUGGUGACUGAUGCUUAAGACAAGGCUUAAGUCUCUAUGCAUUUCCCUGUGAGAUUCUGAUAUGGUCUCUCUGAUUGUUUUUAUAGUAAACAGCAGGCAUACUUUAAGGAGGAAAAAAGAGCUAGUCAAAAGAUUUUCUGCCCAGGUUAAAGUCAGUGAAAAUUUAGACUGAUUAUAGAAAUCAGUGAAGCCUUCAAGUUAUCUCUGGUGAAGACCAGUCCUCUGAAGUUAAAAUGUUAAGUUUAGCAUUUAGUAAAUAUCUGGACAGGUUUACUUGUCACUUGAGAAUAUUGUAGGCCUUCUCAAAAAAAGAACAGAAGGGAGUCUCUAAACUUUCAUUUCAUGGUUCAACAGUUACUUGACGAUGCAUCGAAAUCCCUCAAUCUCAAGUAACCAGUGCCAAAAACAUCUUCAAAGUGUCUCAGAAGAACUUUCAGAAGGAAAUAAUGGAUCGUUUGGAUGAAAACACUCAUUUUUAGGAAAAUCUAAAAGCGCUAUCCCAAGAAGCUGUGAAAUGGAAUACAAAGUGUGAGAAACGAAGGAAAAAAAUGCUUGACAACUUGAAAACAUAAAGAAGUUGUAAAUGAUAGAGAGAGCCCUUUAAAAUUGAAGGUGAUACACUUGCCUGUCUUCUUUAGCAAAAAUUACAUGGGUGAUGGCAACUUGAAAUCAGACAAAGACAAAUCAGAAAAUUGAGAACUUCUAGGCUGUAAAUCAAAAAACAAUUUGAAGAAAUACACUGAUGCUGUUAAGUGUUUCCUUAAAAAGGCUUGAAGAAGAAAAACAAGGACUAUUAAAAAGAAAAUCAAAUGAAUCACUUACAGUUCAAAGAAAUGGUCUCUCAUCUGAAUAAGCAUCUUUGUAGUCUGAAAAUGUAGCUCAUAUGAAAACAUCAGCUGUGUAACAUCAGAAGCAUGACGCCCACAGGAAGAUGGCCUCGAGAAAGUCUUGGAAAGAAGCACUUUCUACUAUCAAAACUUGAUCAUUUCCCAAGAGAAAAAAUGUUCAAGAAAGUUGGAUGGCAGCUUGGCACACUAACAGAAAGCUCACUGAGCUAAGAAAAGAAAAUGAUCACAACAGAUAAAGUUGACUAAAGCAGUUUAAAUUUCAGGUUUUCCCAAGUGGUUCCUGCUGUUCCAUGUGCAGGCGAUCCCAUGCAUCAUGUCUGCAAGGAAGGGAGAGGUUAAAACUGUAAGGGCUUACACAUUUGGGUCAGUAGGUUUGAUUCAGGUUUACAGCAACCAACUCCUAACUAUAUACUGGAGGACACAUGACCGUGUUUUCUUUACUUAAUAAUUUAAUCUCUUUUUAUUGUUUUUUCUUAGUUGAUGCUACAUUUACUUAAAUUCAAGUUCGAAAGAAUUACAAUUCCUAAGAUGGUGUUUUACAAAUCUAGAUGGUUUUAAUACAAUUCUUGACUAUUAGACCAUUCCAUGAGACUCUCAGAAUCAGGUCCAUUUAAGUACUGUAUUUAGGCUGAAUUAAAUAGUUCACUAUUACGUAAACCAUAAUUGAAUUUUGUAUGAUCAUGGAGAUAAAUAAAUCAAUAAAGGUCAUUUAUAUAUGCUACGAACUGUUACAAGAAAUGUGAGUAACAGUAUUUACCUCAAUAAAUUUAGGUUUAAUAGAGAGAAUUCCACCCAAACCCAACAAAAAAAGAAUAAUACCCUCCAACUAAAUCUAUUAGUAUUUUUAUUAGUUUAGCACUACAUUCAUAGAUUUAGGGGAGGUAACACUUUGUUCAUGAUAUUAUUUGCUGUUUAAAUAUUUCUAAAUUUUAUGCAGUCAAAAAUAAAGCUUUCCCUUAAAAUACCUUCUUUAUCCUACUCAAUCUCAACAGGUUGUCUCAUCUCUAGCAUUACUAGAUACCUGAUUAUGCCAAAUAUCAGGUCUUCACACCACUUUUCUGGCCCACCUAAUAUCCUGACGGGUCUCCCUGUCUUUGGUAAAGUCAAUGAUGGCAGCUACUAUUUAAGUAUUUACUAUGUGGUAGGCAAUAGGCUAAGUACUUUAGGUAAAUUAUCUCAUCUAACCUCAUAGCAAUCCUGCAAGGUAAUUGUCCCCAUCUUAUGUUUGACUAUUACUACCUUUGCUCAAAAGCUUCAUACUUUCAGAAUAUUUUUCAGUCCUCUAUCAGCUAGCUCAACCUAUUUUUCUAAUCAUUCCCUAUAGGUCCUCUUAACCUACAGCAUUUCAUUCAAAUUCAACUGCUGUGUUCCCUACAUGCUCUUUGUGCUUUUCUUAGACUCAGGCUUUGUGGGCCCAGUUGUAAACGUACUUGCAGUCAUAGCACAAAUGCCACCUCUUACAUGAAACCUUCUCUGGAAACUCCCUGCUAAGUUCUUACAAUAAGUUCUUUAUUCCUCUAACUUAUUAUUUUAUUAUUUUUUGUAUUGAGGACAGGAUGGAAUCCUACUCAUCUGUAUUGUUCCUGCAACAUCUUCUACAUUAUAUAGUUCUCAAUAAGUGUGUAGAAUACAUUUACAACUUUGGUAGAUGCCUUGAAUUUGUUCAAUAAUUACUUUAAGAAUGUUUUACAUACAUCAUUCUUAAAGUAAUUAAGAUGAUUACAUACAUCAUUUGAUUCUGUAAUACUGCUUCAUACAUUUUUAACUAUGUUUCUCACAUUCACAUUUUCACUCCAAGUUAUAAGAAUGUUCUAAACUAUGCCAUACCCUUCAACUUUUCUAAGCAUCAAACACCAUGCUGUGAAUAGUAAAUGCUUGCAGAAUAAAUGUUUAAGAAUAACUGGGGCAGAUGAUAGCAUUAUAGUAACAACAAGCCAAUAAGCUCAGUUGAUGGCAAAACUACUUCUGGAAUGACUUCAAGUAAACUAUCAUUUCUAAGUUUUAGUAAUUUUGGCUAACUAAAAUCCCUAUCAAAUUUCUUAGAUCUCUUUCAGAAUAUGCCAAUUUCUCAAGCUUUUAAUGUUAAAAAAUUCUAAAUUUAAGUUGACCUACUGGAUCAAGCAAACAUUUCCACUGAUUUUAGUGUACAUAUUCUAGCUAUCACUACUUUAAUCAUAAAACUAUUUCAACUAAUUAAAUACACCAAUAAAAUUGGAGACUUGGGAUGUGAGCAGGACUUCAGCUAUUUAAUAUUACACGUGUGUGUAUGUAUGUGUAUAUAUAUGUGUAUAUAAAUGCAUAUAAAACUAAUCACAAAGGAAAAAACUUUUUGUGGGGGCAGGAAAAACCAUAGGAAAUGAGAGGAAAGGGAAGCGCUAAUACACCAGAAGGAGGCAGGCUAUUUCAGCAUCUUUUAACUUAGUAUUGUAGGUGAUACAGAACACAGAUAUCUAAAUGGCUUAAUUCUAUACUAAGUAUAAAAACACGCCCCUCCAGUACCACAAAUCUUUUCAGGUGACACUGUUGUGACAUUUCUUCCUUUUCAUGUAUGCCUUUAUAGAUGCCCUUUACAGAACUCUUAAUAACAC
This is a long non-coding RNA of Macaca fascicularis (crab-eating macaque), 4971 nucleotides long. The record is from Ensembl. Lineage: Eukaryota; Metazoa; Chordata; Mammalia; Primates; Cercopithecidae.